AUACGGAGGAUGCGAGCGUUAUCCGGAUUUAUUGGGUUUAAAGGGUGCGUAGGCGGAUGAUUAAGCGUGAGGUGCAAUGCCACUGCUCAACAGUGGAACUGCCUCGCGAACUGGUUGUCUUGAAUGCUCCUGCCGUGGGCGGAAUGUGUGGUGUAGCGGUGAAAUGCAUAGAGAUCACACAGAACACCGGUUGCGAAGGCAUCUCCCGAAGAGGUGAAUGGCGCUGAGGCACGAAAGCAUGGAGAUCAAACAGGAUUAGAUAACCUGGUAGUCCACGCAGUAAACGAUGAUGACUAACCGUCGGCGAUACACAGUCGGUGGCCAAGCGAAAGCGAUAAGUCAACCACCUGGGGAGUUCGGUCGCAAGAAGGAAACUGAAAUGAAUUGGCGGGG
RNAcentral lists this ribosomal RNA (393 nucleotides) under uncultured bacterium. RNAcentral's name for it is "partial 16S ribosomal RNA". It matches the Rfam family "Bacterial small subunit ribosomal RNA", at positions 523 to 918 of the family's 1533-position model. The record is from RNAcentral.